GUAACUGCGAGUGAAGCGGGAAAAGCUCAGACUGAAAAUCUUCGGAAUUGUAGUCUGGAGAAGUAUGGUCAGCCGAUGAUGAUGAGUGAAGUCUUCUGGAAAGGAGCGCCUUGGAGGGUGAUAGCCCCGUUCAUACUUAUCAUUAGAAGCGUACGACCUGCUUUCUACGAGUCGUGUUGUUUGGGACUGCAGCACUAAGUGGGUGGUAAAUUCCAUCUAAAGCUAAAUAUUGGUGGGAGACCGAUAGCGAACAAGUACCGUGAGGGAAAGAUGCAAAGAACUUUGAAAAGAGAGUUAAAUAGUACCUGAAAUUGCUGAAAUGGAACCGAUGGGAAGCAGUGUCGGCUAGGUAGUACUUGUACUGCUUAGCAAGUUAGGCUUCUUUAACUAUGUGGGAAAGGCUUCUAAACCUGUAUGGGUUAGUUUUGCUGUCAUG
This 436-nucleotide ribosomal RNA is filed under the name uncultured fungus. Its description in RNAcentral is "eukaryotic LSU rRNA". It matches the Rfam family "Eukaryotic large subunit ribosomal RNA", at positions 83 to 533 of the family's 3401-position model. Lineage: Eukaryota; Fungi. The record is from RNAcentral.